GCCAAGUCGAUCUCGUCGCUUCGCGACUCGGACUCUAGAGACGGACUUGAUCCAAGUCUAGGUAGAGUAGUAUUUGCCAUGAAUAAGUCGCCAGCAAACGUUUCACCAUAGUCCAUAUAAUAAAUGCCAUCAAAAACCGAAACCAUCUCAGGUACGUCAGUCAAAAGCAAAUAGCUUUUCUUAACAGAAUUGCUUAUAAAAGAAUAGAGGUUAUUUCAAGCACAUAAUAUGUCAUUUAAUACAGUUGAAUCCCAUUCAUUUGCAUUUGUGAUAUGAUUAUAUAUUAUCGCAGUCAAGGACAUUGCCAAACAUUGUUUACCAGCAUUUUGUCAAAACUUUUUUGUAUUUCCCUGGCUAAAAUCAGCACAUAUUGUUUUAGUUGAAUCAACCACAUCAUAUAUUGUGGAUCCAGGAUUUUCCUCUACAUCAUUUGCCAUUCUCAACAACAGUGGAACAUACACAAUGUAGCCUGACAUUUGAGUGAAGUUGUGUAGCAGUGGCACAAUGGCUUGCUGAUUUAAUAUUUGUGUGGCAGUGGCACAAUGGCUUGCCGAUUUUGUUCGUAGCAGUGGCACAAUGGCUUGCUGAUUUAUUUGUGUGGCAGUGGCUUGCCAAUUUUGUUUGUAGCAGUGGCACAAUGGCUUGCUGAUUUAUUUGUGUGGCAGUGGCAUAAUGGCUUGCCAAUUUUGUUUGUAGCAGUGGCACAAUGCCGGGCUUGCGGAUUUAUUUGUGUGGCAGUGGAACAAUGGCUUGCCAAUUUUGUUUGUAGCAGUGGCACAAUGGCUUGCUGAUUUAAUUGUGUGGCAGUGGCACAAUGGCUUGCCGAUUUUGUUUGUAGCAGUGGCACAAUGGCUUGCUAAUUAAUUUUGGAUGUAGUGGUGACACACAUGAUAUGCUCAAGUAACAUAUACAAACAAAUAUUAUUAACAUAAUGACCACUAUAAUCAACCAAAAUAACAUAAAAAAUAUAGGAUAAAAGCUAUCUUGCAAAUAAGUCAGAUAAUUUCUCAUUCGCAUACAAUUGUGUGUUCCAAUGUGGGCACGAUACUGCUCGAUUGAUAUUCCCAUUAUAUUAAUGAUAAACUAUGUUCCUGUCAAGCUCAAUCAGAUUUUUUAGACCCAGUCAAACCUCACAAUCGACGACCUAUGAAGAUUUGUAUAUGCACC
This is a non-coding RNA of Paramuricea clavata, 1167 nucleotides long. NCBI's taxonomy places the organism in Eukaryota, Metazoa, Cnidaria, Anthozoa, Malacalcyonacea, Plexauridae. The record is from the annotation of a GenBank genome assembly.